AUGACAAUAACCUUCAGUGAUGGUACCGAAGACAAAAAAAUCAAGAUUACCAAGGAAGCUAUCCACAAGGUGUUUGGAUACCCAAACGGCACACAAAACGCCGCUAUCUUCAGCAAACAAGCUAUAAUGGUCAAGGACAUGGACUAUCCAGAAAUGGCAAAGAUGGAUUUCUGCGAGGUAAUCAUCGAAAGUAUUAAGGAAGGAACCAAGAUAUGGCAGAAGCACAGGAUGUUGCCUCAGGAAGAAAAGAACAAAAAGCAUAUCAAUGGUUUGGCGCAGGGACCAGUAAUCAUGUACCUCGACUCCCUGUUGCUGCCAACCGACACAAAAGAAAUGCGGAAGAUUGCAAAACAAUGGACAAGACCUCAUUACCACGAGCAAACCAUCUCAAAUAGAGUGACCUAG
Molecule: ribosomal RNA, 405 nt
Filed under: Triticum aestivum (bread wheat)
Lineage: Eukaryota; Viridiplantae; Streptophyta; Magnoliopsida; Poales; Poaceae
Description: partial small subunit ribosomal RNA
Source: RNAcentral